AGCUGUUUUGGGACUACAAUUCCCAUCACCCCUGACCACUGGUUCUGUUGGUUAGGAAUGAUGGGAGCUGUAGUCCCAAAACAGUU
Molecule: non-coding RNA, 86 nt
Organism: Podarcis lilfordi (Lilford's wall lizard)
Lineage: Eukaryota; Metazoa; Chordata; Lepidosauria; Squamata; Lacertidae
Source: the annotation of a GenBank genome assembly